GAGAGAGAGAAGAGGGAGAGAGAGAGAGAGAGAGAGAGAGAGAGAGAGAGAGAGAGAGGUGUCGGGAUGCAGAACAGGACCCAGAAACUGGAGAUGAUAACCAACUUGGCAAGGCUAUCUUAAGGAACGUGGACCCUCUAGGAUCUGGUGGUGGCUAGUGCUGAGAUGUUCCAUGUACCCUUGGUACCGCGACGGUGGGGUGAAGGCAGAGGAGGAGCCCACAUAAACACAAAGUUCACCGCAGGGAGCGAUGAAAAGAAGCAGCCCAUGCAGGGGCCACAGACGCAGCCCGUGGGGCGCGGGGUCACAUUAGCCAGAGUCCCCAGAACCUCCAGGGAAGAAAGGCAGGAAGAGGCGGAGUCCCGAAGAGGAGAAAUGAAAAGGGGAUUCUGGGAACUGGCAGCGGGGUGGCGGUUCUGCCCUACUGUCCACGACACCCACUCACGUUCCUGUGGUCCCCGUAGUACAGUACCUGAACGGCCGGGCCUCUAGGAUCCCCCUCUGGGAUGUCCUGGGGCGACCGCCGAGCUGCUCUGGGCACCAGGCGCAGCUGUGCACGGCUGGACACAAGCAAAACUAUGAGCGCCACAACUCACUGCCUGCUUCUUCUUGGCUUAAUCUUCAGCACCCUACCUCCAGACCAAACUAUUUUAGAGUGAAGAGAAACAAUCCUUCCCUACCUACUUCCGUACUGACAUCCUUUGUCUUCCAAAAUGGAAUGCGAGGGAGCUUUCAGCAGCGUAUGCAUGGUCUGAAUAUGAGCCUUGCCAAGGUGGAAACGCUAACGGAAGUCUGUAAGAGGAGGUGCGGCAAAGUCUAUUGUGAGCCUGGAAUCCCACUUUCAGAUCUCUGACGGAAGAGAAGGGGAGGGUAGUUCACAGUUUUUGUGAAGGGAUUUUUUUUCCCCAUAAAAACGCGUCCCCCACAAAGGCAAGAGAUCUCUUUGUGUAUCCAUCUGGCCUGGAACUUGCGAUCUCCUAUCACACCCACCAAAUGCUGGAAUGGUGAUUCAGAGCCACCCUGCUCAGUUUAAGAGAGCAUCGACAUCCACCAGGACUCACAGUUGCUGAGCCCCUCUUCCUGGGCUGAUGAUGGUGAAGAGGCCUCCGCCUCUUAGGUCACCCUGGCAGAAUUCCUACCAGUCCCAUAGAUUUGAAAGGCUCUUACCUGGGAUACUGGUUCUCUAUAGAAGACGUUCUGUAUUGAAAUCUUUGCAGCCACAGUUUCAAAGAAGUUGUAGAAAUAGCUCGGGCAAGUGGGGUAACGAUGAUACAGAACUGUGUCCUGUGUGCCCCCUUCUAUAUAAACAUGCACAUUAAAAAUAGACAUACUGAAGAACGUGUGGGGGACAGGAGAUUCUUAUAUAUGAGUACACUGUAGCUGUCUUCAGACACACCAGAAGAGGGCAUCGGAUCCCAUUACAGAUGGUUGUGAGCCACCAUGUGGUUGCUGGGAUUUGAACUCAGGACCUCUGGAAGAGCAGUCAGUGCUCUUAAACGCUGAGCCAUCUCUCUAGCCCCAGGACAGGAGAUUCUUAUGCUCAGCAACAUAAACCAAACAUAUGUGGAAUGUAGACUUAAAUAUACAUGCAAAUGUACAUAUAGGCAAUGAAAGUAGACAGAAAACCUGAAAGUACAGGACGAGGUCCAAGAGGGGAGGUAGAACCAGAGAGCGAAUCAGCCAUUCAAGUCAUGAGAGCAGAAUCCAGGGGCGCAGUACUUGGGAGGAAGAAGGGAACAGCAAGAGGGGAGGGGUGACCAGGGAGGAAUGAGAGCACAGAAAUAAGUAUAAUGGGGCACACGCACACACACACACACACACACACACACACACACAUCACAACACACGCACACACACACCACAACACAUGCACACACACAACAUACAUACAAACACAACACACAUACAACACACACACAACAUAUACACACACACAACACACACACACAUGCACACACACACACACACACAAUUGUUGAAAUUUCCAUUUAUGCCCUUGUGGAAGAAUUAUUGUCCUGAUCAUUAAAAGCAAAACCCCUCAAAACUCAAAAUGUUAAUAUGAUUAAUUGCAUUUGAGCAUUCAGUCUCACUUUUAAGUCAAACAGAUCAAUUACAUCCGGAAGCCUAGUAAACGCACCACACAAGUGCAGUCACGAGGUCUUUGACACAGUGACAGCUCUCUAGAAGGAAGACAGUCUUUACAACCAACGGCACUACUACAGUUUGAAUGAUGUAUCCCAGGGUGCAUGGGUUAAAGAUUUGGCUCUCAUGGUGGUUCUCUUGGAAAGCCAUGGGGCCUUUAAGAAGCAGAGCCUGCUGAGAGACCCUGGCCAUUAGUGUGCUCUUGAAGGGGAUUGUGGGAGUCUGACCUCUUCCUUUUUCCUCUCUCACUUCCUUGUGCUCCCUGCUUUGAUUCAUUGUUUUAAUAUGGACACUCAAGACAAUGGAGAUAGUUAAUCAUGGGUCCAAACUUUAAAAGCCGUGUAAGCCUAAAUAAACCUUUUCUCUUGUUAUACUGAUUACCUUGGGUAUUUGUUACAGUAGCAGAAAGCUGUUUGAUACAAACUCAAUAUGCAAAAGGGUGAAGCUAGAUACAGAGUUUUACACUUUUCUCAAAAACUAACUCAAAAGUAGACCCUAGCACUCAACAUAAAACACAAACCUUGAGGAGUUGUACUAGGUAACAUCAUUGAAAAUCCCAAUGACUUUGGGUUGGGUGAAGUCUUGUUAGAUGCACCAAAAACUAUGAUCUUUGUAAGAAAAAAAAUGGACUUUAAGGUUUAAAACAUCUGCUUAAAAUGUUUUAAGAUUUAUUUGCUUUAUUUUAUAAGUGUGAGUAUUUUUGCCUGCCUGCAUGCAUGUACGUGCACCACCUGUGUGGAAUAACAACAGAAAUCAGAAGAGAGCAUCAGAUCCCAUAGAACUGCAGUUAGGCAGGGUUAUGAGCCACCAUGUGGGUUCUAGGAACUUAAUCCAGGUCCUCUGCAAGAGCAAUGCGUGCUCUUAUCCAAGUGCUUGCUUUCUUUAACACACUUGGGUGAAUACUUGGGAGCAUAUUUGAAAGAUCACAUGGUAUGAUAUAGUCAGUUGUAAAGGAAACUACCAAGUUAUUUCCUAAAGUGGCUGUGUUAUUUUGUAUUCCCACCAGCAAAGAAUGAAAGUUCCUGCUGUCCUCCAUCCUUGCCAGCACUUGUUAUCUGUGUUAGCUUUUAGCCACUGUUAUGUGACAGUUUUCUCCUAGAAUGAAACUUUGUAUCCUUCAGGAAGUCCCUUAAGACAGAAAGCAAAUAAUUCAACACAGUUUCAGGAAGUCCCUGAAACUGACAAGAUUCACUAGGCUCCUCUACAGUAAACUGUUGAGACUGUUGAGAAUUGCUCUCAGGAAAGCCAAACUGCAAAGAAACUCCAAGUCCAGUGUGGCAGCUUGGAAAUAGCAGUAACCAGUCAAGCUGCUUGAAAGAGGCUCAGCUGAACCACCUAGGAAGGAUACCCUCCAACGUGCCUAUAGGCUGUGCGGUGUGCUCCAGGUUCCCAGCGUUUGUGAGUUCUCUUCAUUCAUACUGAGGUGGGCUUUGGUGUUGUGUUUGAGUCACUUCUGCUCCUAUAAGUAACCCCUUGCCCAUGUUCCUGUAAAUAAUCUCAAUAAAACUUAUUGGCUUACCAAA
This is a long non-coding RNA of Rattus norvegicus (Norway rat), 3665 nucleotides long. RefSeq lists it as uncharacterized. NCBI's taxonomy places the organism in Eukaryota, Metazoa, Chordata, Mammalia, Rodentia, Muridae. The record is from RefSeq and is a predicted model, not a curated record.